RNAcentral lists this non-coding RNA (30 nucleotides) under Homo sapiens (human). Lineage: Eukaryota; Metazoa; Chordata; Mammalia; Primates; Hominidae. The record is from RNAcentral.
UGGGCGAGCUCAACGAGCAGCUGGGAAUGC